This 425-nucleotide ribosomal RNA is filed under the name uncultured bacterium. Its description in RNAcentral is "partial 16S ribosomal RNA". It matches the Rfam family "Bacterial small subunit ribosomal RNA", at positions 354 to 796 of the family's 1533-position model. The record is from RNAcentral.
GUAGGGAAUCUUGCGCAAUGGGCGAAAGCCUGACGCAGCCAUGCCGCGUGAAUGAUGAAGGUCUUAGGAUUGUAAAAUUCUUUCACCGGGGACGAUAAUGACGGUACCCGGAGAAGAAGCCCCGGCUAACUCCGUGCCAGCAGCCGCGGUAAUACGGAGGGGGCUAGCGUUGUUCGGAAUUACUGGGCGUAAAGCGCGCGUAGGCGGACUGAAAAGUUGGGGGUGAAAUCCCGGGGCUCAACCUCGGAACUGCCUUUGAUACUGGCUGUCUUGAGUACGGGAGAGGUGAGUGGAACUCCGAGUGUAGAGGUGAAAUUCGUAGAUAUUCGGAAGAACACCAGUGGCGAAGGCGACUCACUGGCCCGUUACUGACGCUGAGGCGCGAAAGCGUGGGGAGCAAACAGGAUUAGAAACCCUGGUAGUCC